AGUGAGUGGCACCCUGGCAAACAACCUGAGACGUCAUCAAGGCGCACACAGAAGUUAGCCUAUAGGCUAUAUGGAGCAGACCUUUUAAUUACUUUUCCAUUCUCUCCCAUCAAGUCGGUCAAGGAAGGAUCAGAAGAUGACCGUACUUGCAGCCCAAAUACACUUCUUAUAAAAACUGAUGAUUCUCUCCUUUCCUCUGUGGUCGUGUUUUAAAUCGUGGAAUGGUAUGGGGCAGAACGGUGCCGAAGACUGAGUUAUCCGGCGCGGUUCAAUAGCGUUGACAUUAAAACAUCGACGGAUUUACUGGAGGAUAUUAGAAACGGAGACAAAACAGGGGUCUCGUUAAACUCACCGCAGAGUCAGAGAGGGAGAUCCCUUUCCUCAGCCUGCCGUAGCAAUGAGCGGACUGUGCAAGCCUGUAGUUAUGGGACUCAUAUUGCUGAUCUGCAGUACUACCAGCCACUGUGAGGAGAGCGCGCCAGCCACGGCUCCCACGGUCGCGAGGAACGACAAGAGCCUACUCAGGCGGAUUGCAGACAUAGUGAAGCACGUGGAGGAGAGCCGCGGUGAGAACAGCACGAACGCAGCAUCGCAGUCGACUUCUAGGAGAGAAUCCCCAGUUGAGACAAAAAGGGAUUUACGAAACCUCAAAACAGAUAGUGGCGAUCAAAUUAUUGAAAUAUUUCCUAGAGAUCUCAGAAAGAAAGAAAAGUUUUUAAAACACUUAACAGGUCCUCUGUAUUUCAAUCCCAAAUGCAGAAAGCACGUAUACAGACUAUAUCACAACACCAGAGACUGCACAAUACCUGCAUACUUCAAAAGAUGCGCACGGCUUCUCACACGCUUAGCAGGGAGCCCACGAUGUACAGAAGGGUAGCAGAAAUCAAGUUGAAGCCAAACCAGAGCUGUCCAGAAGAGAGCCCUGACAAAAAGUGCCUUAGACAACAACAGGGAAACCAAACAAACUCGAACCAGUCACGUCCGCCAUUACGCAGUAUCCGUCAUCAGAGUUCACUAUUUUACAAAGACAUGGAUUACCACCCACAGGCCUCCCUGGACCCUACACAGUCUGUGGUCACUGCGGGUCUUGACAAGAGACUAUACAGAAGAUACAGAAGGUGAAGGGGGAAAAAUGGCAGCAACCACAGAUUUCGGGGUUAUUAUUGUCCUGCUGGCUGGACAAACUCUACUUUCUUCUUUCUUUCUUGGUUUUUACCAAAAGAGAAAAGGGAUUGCUUUUGUUUGUUUUUAACCCCCCCCCCCAAAAAAAAAACAACAACAACAAUUGAAAUCAAUCAAAUCUUUUGGUUGGGUUGCGACAUGCCUUUUUAGGUUGUAUUUAUGUUGUGGUUCGGCGUCAUAUCUUUGUCAGCAGCACUACCUAUUAGUGGAUAAAAGGCUAUCUCGGACAUUCUCUCACCUACCUGUGACCACACUGAAACGUAUGAUUAAAUUAUUAACUGCAUGACAAUUUCCUUGCCUUUUUAUGUCUUUGUAAGACAUGUAUUAAAACAAGAGACACUAUAUAUUAGGCACUGGUUGCAGUCAGAAGUUGUGUGUAAGAAGAAACCCUCCUGUGAGUCUGAGUGUGGUAGUGUGGUACAUAGUAUAUUUAUAUAUUCAAGUUGUCAUAUGUUUUCCUCUGUAUACAGUAUGUAUAAACAUUCUAACCUGAGUGCAAUAUGUACAUAUUGUAAAAAGCAUAAAAGGAAUCCACAUAACAACCAUAAA
This is a long non-coding RNA of Salvelinus namaycush (lake trout), 1731 nucleotides long. RefSeq lists it as uncharacterized. The transcript is spliced from 6 exons. The record is from RefSeq and is a predicted model, not a curated record. NCBI's taxonomy places the organism in Eukaryota, Metazoa, Chordata, Actinopteri, Salmoniformes, Salmonidae.